Molecule: ribosomal RNA, 715 nt
Filed under: Salmonella enterica
Lineage: Bacteria; Pseudomonadati; Pseudomonadota; Gammaproteobacteria; Enterobacterales; Enterobacteriaceae
Description: partial 23S ribosomal RNA
Rfam family: Bacterial large subunit ribosomal RNA
Source: RNAcentral
UGGAUCCGUUACCCGGGUUGCGGACAGUGUCUGGUGGGUAGUUUGACUGGGGCGGUCUCCUCCUAAAGAGUAACGGAGGAGCACGAAGGUUGGCUAAUCCUGGUCGGACAUCAGGAGGUUAGUGCAAUGGCAUAAGCCAGCUUGACUGCGAGCGUGACGGCGCGAGCAGGUGCGAAAGCAGGUCAUAGUGAUCCGGUGGUUCUGAAUGGAAGGGCCAUCGCUCAACGGAUAAAAGGUACUCCGGGGAUAACAGGCUGAUACCGCCCAAGAGUUCAUAUCGACGGCGGUGUUUGGCACCUCGAUGUCGGCUCAUCACAUCCUGGGGCUGAAGUAGGUCCCAAGGGUAUGGCUGUUCGCCAUUUAAAGUGGUACGCGAGCUGGGUUUAGAACGUCGUGAGACAGUUCGGUCCCUAUCUGCCGUGGGCGCUGGAGAACUGAGGGGGGCUGCUCCUAGUACGAGAGGACCGGAGUGGACGCAUCACUGGUGUUCGGGUUGUCAUGCCAAUGGCACUGCCCGGUAGCUAAAUGCGGAAGAGAUAAGUGCUGAAAGCAUCUAAGCACGAAACUUGCCCCGAGAUGAGUUCUCCCUGAGACUUAGAGUCUCCUGAAGGAACGUUGAAGACGACGACGUUGAUAGGCCGGGUGUGUAAGCGCAGCGAUGCGUUGAGCUAACCGGUACUAAUGAACCGUGAGGCUUAACCUUACAACGCCGAAG